UGAAAACGUGAAACGUGCCGCCUGGGAAGUACGGUCGCAAGGGCUGAAACUUAAAGGAAUUGGCGGGGGAGCACCACAACGGGUGGAGCUGCGGUUUAAUUGGACUCAACGCCGGGCAGCUCACCGGAUGGGACAGCGGAAUGAUAGCCGGGCUGAAGACCUUGCUUGACCAGCUGAGAGGAGGUGCAUGGCCGUCGUCAGUUCGUACUGUGAAGCAUCCUGUUUAGUCAGGCAACGAGCGAGACCCACGCCAACAGUUGCUAGCAUGUUCUCCGGAAUGAUGAGGACACUGUUGGGACCGCCUCUGCUAAAGAGGAGGAAGGAAUGGGCAACGGUAGGUCAGCAUGCCCCGAAUUAUCCGGGCUACACGCGGGCUACAAUGGUCAGGACAAUGGGAAACGGCACUGAAAAGUGUAGUCAAUCUCCUAAACCUGUCCCAAGUUCGGAUUGUGGGCUGCAACUCGCCCACAUGAAGUUGGAAUCCGUAGUAAUCGCGUUUCAAAAUAGCGCGGUGAAUAAGUCCCUGCUCCUUGCACACACCGCCCGUCAAACCAUCUUAGUGAGGUUUGGAUGAGGCUGUGGUUAACUGCCACAGUCGAAUCUAGGUUUCGCAAGGAGGGUUAAGUCGUAACAAGGUAGCCGUAA
This 645-nucleotide ribosomal RNA is filed under the name uncultured archaeon. Its description in RNAcentral is "bacterial SSU rRNA". It matches the Rfam family "Archaeal small subunit ribosomal RNA", at positions 807 to 1452 of the family's 1478-position model. The record is from RNAcentral.